This 776-nucleotide ribosomal RNA is filed under the name uncultured Neocallimastigales. Its description in RNAcentral is "partial large subunit ribosomal RNA". It matches the Rfam family "Eukaryotic large subunit ribosomal RNA", at positions 24 to 644 of the family's 3401-position model. Lineage: Eukaryota; Fungi; Neocallimastigomycota; Neocallimastigomycetes; Neocallimastigales. The record is from RNAcentral.
UAUCUCUGUAGAGUCUGCAUAUCAAUAAGCGGAGGAAAAGAAACUAACUAGGAUUCCCUCAGUAACGGCGAGUGAAGCGGGAAGAGCUCAAAUUUGAAAUCUUCAAGGUUCUACCUUGACGAAUUGUAGUUUAAAGAAGUGUUUUCUGUUGAAGUUUUCGGUAAAAGUUCUUUGGAAUAGGACAUCAUAGAGGGUGAGAAUCCCGUAUUUGACCGUUACUUUCAGCUGUGUGAUACACUUUCAAAGAGUCGGAUUGUUUGGGAAUGCAGUCCAAGAAUGGGUGGUAAAUUUCAUCUAAAGCUAAAUAUUGGCGAGAGACCGAUAGCGAACAAGUACCGUGAGGGAAAGAUGAAAGGAACUUUGAAAAGAGAGUUAAACAGUACGUGAAAUUGUCAAAAGGGAAGCGUUUGACACCAGUGUUGUUUUCUCGAAAAUCAAUUAAAAAAGGCAGGAUUUUGUGUUGUAUUGACUUUAUCAGCUUUCUGCACUCUUUUCUUGUCUUUUUUAAUGCACUUUUCGUUUAACAAGUCAACAUCAAUUUCUUUUGUUGUAAAAGGGUCAUUGGAAGGUGGCUUUCUUUUCGGAGAAAGUGUUUAUAGCCUUUGGCCUCUGCAAUCGGAGAGAGUUGAGGUCUGCAGCGUAGAUCCUUCGGGGUUAGAUACAUUUGUGCUAAGUUAUAGCCUUUCAUAGACAACUUGUUGACUAUGAUCAGUCAUGUAGCUUACUCGCUUAUGCUAUUUUACCUACGCUUAGGAUGUUGAAGUCAUCGUAUCGCG